RNAcentral lists this ribosomal RNA (505 nucleotides) under uncultured bacterium. RNAcentral's name for it is "partial 16S ribosomal RNA". It matches the Rfam family "Bacterial small subunit ribosomal RNA", at positions 28 to 507 of the family's 1533-position model. The record is from RNAcentral.
GACGAACGCUGGCGGCGUGCCUAAUACAUGCAAGUAGAACGCACAGUUUAUACCGUAGCUUGCUACACCAUAGACUGUGAGUUGCGAACGGGUGAGUAACGCGUAGGUAACCUGCCUGGUAGCGGGGGAUAACUAUUGGAAACGAUAGCUAAUACCGCAUAAUAUUGAUUAUUGCAUGAUAAUUGAUUGAAAGAUGCUAUUGCAUCACUACCAGAUGGACCUGCGUUGUAUUAGCUAGUAGGUGAGGUAACGGGUCACCUAGGCGACGAUACAUAGCCGACCUGAGAGGGUGAUCGGCCACACUGGGACUGAGACACGGCCCAGACUCCUACGGGAGGCAGCAGUAGGGAAUCUUCGGCAAUGGACGAAAGUCUGACCGAGCAACGCCGCGUGAGUGAAGAAGGUUUUCGGAUCGUAAAGCUCUGUUGUAAGAGAAGAACGGGUGUGAGAGUGGAAAGUUCACACUGUGACGGUAUCUUACCAGAAAGGGACGGCUAACUACGUG